This 502-nucleotide ribosomal RNA is filed under the name uncultured Bacillaceae bacterium. RNAcentral's name for it is "partial 16S ribosomal RNA". Lineage: Bacteria; Bacillati; Bacillota; Bacilli; Caryophanales; Bacillaceae. The record is from RNAcentral.
CACGUAGUUAGCCGGGGCUUUCUGGCGAGGUACCGUCAAGGUACCGGUCUCUUCGAGCGGUACUUGUUCUUCCCUCACAACAGAGUUUUACGAUCCGAAGACCUUCAUCACUCACGCGGCGUUGCUCCGUCAGACUUGCGUCCAUUGCGGAAGAUUCCCUACUGCUGCCUCCCGUAGGAGUCUGGGCCGUGUCUCAGUCCCAGUGUGGCCGAUCACCCUCUCAGGUCGGCUACGCAUCGUCGCCUUGGUGAGCUUUUAUCCCACCAACUAACUAAUGCGCCGCGGGCUCAUCUGCAAGUGAUAGCCGGAGCCAUCUUUCAACAUCUCCCCAGGCAGGAAGAUGUGUCAUUCGGUAUUAGCACCGGUUUCCGGUGUUAUCCCGAUCUUGCAGGCAGAUUGCCCACGUGUUACUCACCCGUCCGCCGCUCGUUCCACAGGAAAUUGACCCCGAAGGGCCAAAUUCCUGCUUCCCGCGCUCGACUUGCAUGUAUUAGGCACGCCG